GAUGAACGCUGGCGGCGUGCCUAAUACAUGCAAGUCGAGCGAACAGACGAGGAGCUUGCUCCUCUGACGUUAGCGGCGGACGGGUGAGUAACACGUGGAUAACCUACCUAUCAGACUGGGAUAACUUCGGGACACCGGAGCUAAUACCGGAUAAUAUAUUGAACCGCAUGGUUCAAUAGUGAAAGACGGUUUUGCUGGCACUUCUAGAUGGAUCCGCGCCGCAUUAGCUAGUUGGUAAGGUAACGGCUUACCAAGGCGACGAUGCGUAGCCGACCUGAGAGGGUGAUCGGCCACACUGGAACUGAGACACGGUCCAGACUCCUACGGGAGGCAGCAGUAGGGAAUCUUCCGCAAUGGGCGAAAGCCUGACGGAGCAACGCCGCGUGAGUUAUGAAGGUCUUCGGAUCGUAAAACUCUGUUAUUAGGGAAAAACAAAUGUGUAAGUAACUAUGCACGUCUUGACGGUACCGAAUCAGAAAGCCACGGCUAACUACGUG
This 497-nucleotide ribosomal RNA is filed under the name uncultured bacterium. Its description in RNAcentral is "partial 16S ribosomal RNA". It matches the Rfam family "Bacterial small subunit ribosomal RNA", at positions 28 to 507 of the family's 1533-position model. The record is from RNAcentral.